Molecule: small RNA, 711 nt
Filed under: Pan troglodytes (chimpanzee)
Lineage: Eukaryota; Metazoa; Chordata; Mammalia; Primates; Hominidae
Description: processed transcript
Source: RNAcentral
UAUAUUUAAUGGAUCAGCUACAUUUCCAGUGCUAAGGAGUUGCACGAAACUGUUGGUUUCUGUAUAAGAGAGCAUGGGGGUAAGAGGCUUGAUCCAACUCGGGGUGGAUGUUUUUGACAGUAACUCCUGGAGGAUAGUAUGUGACUGAACCACUGGAAUUGCUCAAGUCUAAACCUGCUUUUCUUUUUUUUUCAGGCUCUGUGUGCUCCGGGAUGGAGCAGGUGUGCAGAGGGUGAGAAUCCAGGUCUGGGACCAAGUCACUUGCUUCCUUACUUAGCAAGACUAUCGACUUGAGCAAACUUGGACCUGGGAUGAGGAUGUCUGUGGGCCUCUCGCUGCUGCUGCCCCUCUGGGGGAGGACCUUUCUCCUCCUGCUCUCUGUGGUUAUGGCUCAGUCCCACUGGCCCAGUGAACCCUCAGAGGCUGUCAGGGACUGGGAAAACCAGCUUGAGGCAUCCAUGCACUCAGUGCUCUCAGACCUCCACGAGGCUGUUCCCACAGUGGUUGGCAUUCCUGAUGGCACGGCUGUCGUCGGGCGCUCAUUUCGAGUGACCAUUCCAACAGAUUUGAUUGCCUCCAGUGGAGAUAUCAUCAAGGUAUCAGCGGCAGGGAAGGAGGCUUUGCCAUCUUGGCUGCACUGGGACUCACAGAGCCACAUCCUGGAGGGCCUCCCCCUUGACACUGAUAAGGGUGUGCAUUACAUUUCAGUGA